UUUUUUUUUUUUUUUUUUUUUGAGAUGGUAUUUCGCUCUUGUUGCCCAGGCUGGAGUGCAAUGGCGCGAUUUCAGCUCACUGCAACCUCCGCCUUCUGGGCUGAGGCAGGAGAAUGGCGUGAACCUGGGAGGCGGAGGUUGCAGUGAGCCGAGAUCGUGCCACUGCACUCCAGCCUGGGCGACAGCGUAAGACUCUUAUCUCAAAAAAACAAACAAAAAACAGCAACAACAACAACAACAAAACCAUCCUCUCCUCCUGAGGGGACAGAACAGAAACGAAUGGGCGAGCGCCGGGCAAAGCAGUGGGUCUCCAGUAGGUGGCAUUAAAAUAGGAAUCUUGGUUGGGGGCGGUGGCUCACGCCUGUAAUCCCAGCACUUUGGAAAGCCGAGGCGGGCGGUCACCUGAGGUCAGAACCAGCCUCGCCAACAUGGUGAAAUGCCGUCCCUACUAAAAAUACAAAAAUUAGCCAGGCGUGGUGGUGGGUGGCUGUAAUCUCAGCAAUUCGGGAGUCUGAGGCAGGAGAAUCGCUUGAACCAGGGGGGCAGAGGUUGCAGUGAGUCGAGAUUGCACCACCGCACUCCAGCCUGCGCAACAAGAGUGUAACUCUGUCUCAAAAAUAAAUUAAAUAAA
Molecule: long non-coding RNA, 631 nt
Filed under: Pongo abelii (Sumatran orangutan)
Lineage: Eukaryota; Metazoa; Chordata; Mammalia; Primates; Hominidae
Description: lincRNA
Source: RNAcentral